This 253-nucleotide ribosomal RNA is filed under the name uncultured bacterium. RNAcentral's name for it is "partial 16S ribosomal RNA". It matches the Rfam family "Bacterial small subunit ribosomal RNA", at positions 524 to 776 of the family's 1533-position model. The record is from RNAcentral.
UACGGAGGGUGCAAGCGUUAUCCGGAUUCACUGGGUUUAAAGGGUGCGUAGGUGGGCAGUUAAGUCAGUGGUGAAAUCUCCGGGCUCAACCCGGAAACUGCCGUUGAUACUAUCUGUCUUGAAUAUCGUGGAGGUAAGCGGAAUAUGUCAUGUAGCGGUGAAAUGCUUAGAUAUGACAUAGAACACCAAUUGCGAAGGCAGCUUACUACCCGAAUAUUGACACUGAGGCACGAAAGCGUGGGGAUCAAACAGG